This is a non-coding RNA of Ailuropoda melanoleuca (giant panda), 73 nucleotides long. Lineage: Eukaryota; Metazoa; Chordata; Mammalia; Carnivora; Ursidae. The record is from Rfam.
GCCUGGCUGGCUCAGUCAGUAGAGCACGUAACUCUUGAUCUCAGGGUUGUGAGUUCGAGCCCCACGUUGGGUA